RNAcentral lists this ribosomal RNA (702 nucleotides) under Paenibacillus ehimensis. RNAcentral describes it as "bacterial SSU rRNA". It matches the Rfam family "Bacterial small subunit ribosomal RNA", at positions 367 to 1192 of the family's 1533-position model. The record is from RNAcentral. Lineage: Bacteria; Bacillati; Bacillota; Bacilli; Caryophanales; Paenibacillaceae.
CGCACUGAUGACGGAGCAACGCCGCGUGAGUGAUGAAGGUUUUCGGAUCGUAAAGCUCUGUUGCCAGGGAAGAACGUCGCGGAGAGUAACUGCUCUGUGAAUGACGGUACCUGAGUUGAAAGCCCCGGCUAACUACGUGCCAGCAGCCGCGGUAAUACGUAGGGGGCAAGCGUUGUCCGGAAUUAUUGGGCGUAAAGCGCGCGCAGGCGGCCGUUUAAGUCUGGGUUUUAAGCCCGGGGCUCAACCCCGGUUCGCACUGGAAACUGGGCGGCUUGAGUGCAGGAGAGGAAAGCGGAAUUCCACGUGUAGGGGUGAAAUGCGUAGAUAUGUGGAGGAACACUGACGGCGAAGGCGGCUUUCUGGCCUGUAACUGACGCUGAGGCGCGAAAGCGUGGGGAGCAAACAGGAUUAGAUACCCUGGUAGUCCACGCCGUAAACGAUGAGUGCUAGGUGUUAGGGGUUUCGAUACCCUUGGUGCCGAAGUAAACACAAUAAGCACUCCGCCUGGGGAGUACGCUCGCAAGAGUGAAACUCAAAGGAAUUGACGGGUACCCGCACAAGCAGUGGAGUAUGUGGUUUAAACCGAAGCAACGCGAAGAACCUUACCAGGUCUUGACAUCCCGAUGAAAGCACUAGAGAUAGUGCCCCUCUUCGGAGCAUUGGAGACAGGUGGUGCAUGGUUGUCGGACUCUCAACAAGUCC